CUUACUACCUACUGUAAGUCGCUCUGGAUAAGAGCAUCUGCUAAAUGACAAAAA
Non-coding RNA from Salmo salar (Atlantic salmon), 54 nucleotides. NCBI's taxonomy places the organism in Eukaryota, Metazoa, Chordata, Actinopteri, Salmoniformes, Salmonidae. The record is from Rfam.